CCGACCACAGCGCAGCUAACGGCACUCCCCUGGAGAGUAUGAUCAGCACUCCGCAGGGGAGCACCGGAUCGUUUGUGCUCCUCACAAUAAAAGGAUUUGGUGCUCCCUUGGGGAGCUCAAGAUCUGGGGUGUGCGGUAAGAUCUUAUGCUUUCUUGAGGAGAUUUGGUUGAAUUUGGCAUUCCACAGUUAGAUUCGAUUGCGAGAGAACCAAUCAGUGUAAGGAGCGUUGGCGGCCAAUUUGAGAGAACGGAAAAAAAGUGAAAAAAAAAUUUAGAUAUUUCACGUUUUCCACACACUAUGGUUUUGCUUGGAUUUUGGGAGGAAAACUGGAAUAGAACUUUCCUGUUUCUUCUGGCAAAUGAUGUCUUCAUUCCUUUUCCAAAGAGUUCAAGAGGUUACUUCCCUGGUUGGAUAUUAGAAAGCACUAGGGGAAGGCAAAGCAAAAGGAAUUAUGUGAGAAUAUUUAAGAAUCAGACUUAGUCUCUUACGGGCAUGAUGUUCUUCCCUGAAUUUCAGCAGAGAGAAAGGGUUGGAGAAACAGAAAGGUUUAUGGAAUCCCAGCAACAAGAGGGAGAUCUUUGUGAUGAGAAGCUUAAGGCCAUUUUUGAUGGAAAAGAAAAGAUUGGUUUCCUGGAGAUUGGAAAAUUGUUAACCCGCCACUUUGUGAAGACUGACUGGCCUCUAUUGUUGUAUUUGGCCUUGGGUUUCCCAACCAAGAAUGAGCUAGCUCCUGUCAUUCUGAACUUAACUCUUUUCAAUGUAUGUUCAUGUUUGCAUUUUGUGUUUAGAGCUGAACUUGCUGGGGUGGGCUUGGGAAAGGUUCUAGCUACGCUUGUGUAAAAAUUUAGUAGGGACUAGAGAGUGAAAAAGUAGCAUCUUAAUUUGGUUUUCUGAUUUUAAUUUUAUUGUUUAUACUAAUUGGAUCUUUGAUCAACUAGUAGUUUAAUUGUUCAACUAUGAGGAAAUCAUUGUUGACUUUCACAUUCAUAGUUAGCCCUUAUAAGAUGCCUUGUUUAUGGAUGAGGCAAGCAGAAUCAUUUGUGAAAUCACUGGCUCCGCAUGCAAUGAGCCAUGCUUUUGCAUGUGGCUUAAUUUGAGGUUCAAAUUAACAUGGGAUGCAGAUUGUUGAA
Molecule: non-coding RNA, 1131 nt
Organism: Theobroma cacao (cacao)
Lineage: Eukaryota; Viridiplantae; Streptophyta; Magnoliopsida; Malvales; Malvaceae
Source: RefSeq, a predicted model, not a curated record